Lolium rigidum is the source of this 3200-nucleotide long non-coding RNA. RefSeq lists it as uncharacterized. The record is from RefSeq and is a predicted model, not a curated record. The transcript is spliced from 2 exons. NCBI's taxonomy places the organism in Eukaryota, Viridiplantae, Streptophyta, Magnoliopsida, Poales, Poaceae.
UCCCCACAGCUCUACAUCAAGUAGAGCUUUUUUUUUCAGAUUUUUAUUUAUUGUGGUUUGUGCACACAUCCUGUUUGUUGAAAUGACUAGCUGCGAACUCUUAUGCAAAUUGCACUGUAGGUUAGAUUGGAGGAUUACUCAUUUCAUUCAAGGAGUUCUUUGUUGUUCAUGGAUUCAGGUUUUGGCCAAGAAAAUCUGUAGAGCCACAUAAUGGUACACAUUCGGUGAAUAAUGGAGGAAAAAUUUGAAUUUCUUCAUAUCUUUUGGUAUGAUAGGAGUUUUUUUUACCAUUGUUUGGAUUAUCAGGUAUUUGCUCUCCUCUUCUCUUCAGAUUGUUAGGAAUGGCUGCCCUCUUUUACUUAUUGUGUUCCAUUGAUGGUAAUCUAUAUCUGAAGAGUUAUGGUGUAUGCGCCUGGAUAGGGCAUCAAUAAGUUCGUCUCCCAGUACUCAUUUGAUGUUUCACUUUAGGGGUAACAAUAAAAAUGGGUGAUCCUAUGGCCCUCCAACAAAUGCUAUUCGUUAGUGUGGUUACUUUUUUUUUCUGGGAUCAGUUAAAGGUUACUGUCUUGCUACCAAACUACUUGAGCGCGGAAUUGUGUUUCUUCAUGAGUGUGCGACGACUUCUCAUGCUGAUCAAAUAUUAAGGUGGAACCCAUGUUUAAGAAUAUUGCCGAACAUGGCCUAAAGUGCGGUCAUACUUAGCCUAAAUUUUAGACAACAGUUGCUAUGUUUUCUUCAGCUGUGUUUUCAAAUCUGUGGGAGUAAUAAAUAAGUUGUUUUAGCUUUGUGAAUUGCGAUUAGUGCGGUCAUACUUAGCCUAAAUUUUAGACAACAGUUGCUAUGUUUUAUUCAGCUAUGUUUUCAAAUCUCUGGGAGUAAUAAAUAAGUUGUUUUAGCUUUGUGAAUUGCGAUUAGAUGUUUGUAAAACAUUGGACUGUGGAUUUUGCGCUGACCAUUACUUUUCAUAUUUUUUAUGUCAGAGAAAGUUUAAUGUUUUUCUUCAUCCAAAUUUAUAGACCUGCUUAUCUGACAAUUGAACUUAUGCCUUUCCGACAAAUAUAUAAGUUAGUAACUGGGACAUGUUUCAAUAUCUAGGAUUCUGAUUAUCUCAAACAUGAUUCAUUUCUGUAUGUGGUUGCAUUUCUCCCCUGUUACAAUUAUUGGAUUGAGCAUAGAUGACUGCUACAUAUCUAGGGAAAAUAAUUGUUUGACGAGUUAGUGCACACGUGUUUUCCCCUUUAUCUCCUCCAAUUAUUUAUUGGAAUUUUUCACAAACCAACAGAGAAGAACAUUAUUGGCAAUUCACAAGAGAGAAACUAUAAAUUGAUAAUAUUGUUUAAAAGAAAUUUGCAAGAGAUUUAUCUACACUAUCAAGACCCUUUUAUUGUUUCAAAAGGCGAGUGAAGAAGGUUGUUAUUGCUUUACAAUGGUUUAUGAUCUUACCUUAAGGCCAUUCUAUACCUGUAGUGUACAUCUAGGAAACUAUUGUGUGUCUCAAAAUGAAUUAUUUUGGUUAGAGCUGAUCUAUAUUCUCUGUUUUUCAACUGGCCUAAUCUAGCUUACUGGUUAGGAAGUAAAACUUAGACACAAGGUAGCGACAUGGGGUGAGCAAGUAAGGUCGUGUCAGGGAUAAUACUGUUAUCAGAUUCAGUGGCCAGGGGAAAGACAAUACAAAAAAAUAUCUGUCAAUCUAGCAGAAGAUGGACAUAACAGAAUACAUGCGCAUACAUAGGAGAGUAUUCAUUAACAAGAAUGAAGAUUUAUUGUUGAAUUAUUACAGCAGCGUCAUCAAUGAGUUAAUAUACUACAUUAGUUCUAUUAUGCAUGUGUGUUCCUUUUACAUGACAUAAUUUACAUUAGCAUCUGUAUGCCUUCGAAAUGAGCAUGAGCCCUACCCGAACAUAAUAGAUACUAAAAUAGUUAUGCAAGCUGUGAACAUAUUUAGUUGAUUGCUUUCUGAUGUUACUGUAGAUUAAUUACCUGGCAGUCAUUUAAAUCAUUUUUGCACACAGAUAAUUAGAAAUUAUACUAUAUCACUAUGUUGUACUCUAACGAAAGCUGGGAUACACCACUUGUGUAUUAGUUUCUCAUGAUCCAACCAUUUCUGCCUCUUUCGCAUAGUGAUUUGACUUCUAAACUAGAAACCAUGUAUUUUGAUGCCAGUCCUGCAGCUCCAGGUGUAUCACUUACUACCACCACAUGCUUGCCUUUAUUGCACCCAUUGCCUCUUAGCUAGGCUGAUGAAGUUUCUUUUUUCCUUUUAUGCCGUUGAUUCGUGUUAUUUUUCGUGCUCUAAGAGGCCUUGGUGACAUAUAAAAAAGCCUUCACAUGCAGAUUUGUUAGUUCGUGUGUUCAAGUACAUGGGUUCAAGAGAGAGACAAUAAAUAAAAUAAGCUUCAACCAUAUCAAGAAUGAGUUCUACCUGAAGCAUUCAUAGAAUGAUCUUUGUUUUCUUUGGUAUAGCAACGCUUUCCGAGAUAUAAUUCAGUGUUCUCAUUACCAUCCUCUAUUAUAAUUAGGGUGGAAGCUAUCCUCAAUUUAUCUUGACAUUUUGAAUACAUAGGGGGAAUCAAUGAUAGUGAAAACUGUAUUGGUGCUUGGUUUAGAUCACGAUAUCCAUACAUAACAUGAUUACAGUUUAAGCGUAGCUUUUGCUUUCAAGAUAGUUGACAUGCGGCCUUGCCAAAGCCCGGGCAGUUAUAUGUUACUGUUUCGAGAGUGACAUCUAGGGAAGGCUUGAGAAUACUUGCACUCAUGAUUUUGGAGUUCUGACCAUGGAAAGAAGGAAUAUAAUACACAGAGAAGUCAUUAUUUAUCUCUAGGUAUGCUAGCUCACAUGUACUUUCCUUUGCAUGGAUAUUGAUACUCUCAUGCUAUUUAUGCAUGCAUCCUGUAAAUUAUGUUGAUAAUGUUUGCUUUCACGGUUUAUUUCUACCUGACUUCGCUCUCUACUGGAGACAUCAAGUUUCCUCCUCAUUUUUAUGUUGAAUUUUUCAGUUGCUAAAGACUUAAGGUUGCCGACCCUGAAGAUAACCCAGCUAAAUUCAGGUGUUUGGGGCUGCAGAUAUUCGGCGCCCAUCCUACCUAGAAAAGCUGAUGCAUUUCCAAGAAAAAGAGUUCGGAUAAUAGUGUAGUUAUAUUGUAUGUAAUUUUGAUUAGCAGUUACUGUAUUACUCUGCACUUAAUUGUUUCUGUUGUCA